RNAcentral lists this ribosomal RNA (882 nucleotides) under uncultured bacterium. RNAcentral describes it as "bacterial SSU rRNA". It matches the Rfam family "Bacterial small subunit ribosomal RNA", at positions 54 to 931 of the family's 1533-position model. The record is from RNAcentral.
CAUGCAAGUCGAGGGGCAGCAUGUUGGUUGCUUGCAACCAACGAUGGCGACCGGCGCACGGGUGAGUAACGCGUAUCCAACCUACCCUUGUCCAUCGGAUAACCCGUCGAAAGGCGGCCUAACACGAUAUGCGGUUCACGGCAGGCAUCUAAGGUGAACGAAAUGUGAAGGAGAAGGAUGGGGAUGCGUCUGAUUAGCUUGUUGGCGGGGUAACGGCCCACCAAGGCUACGAUCAGUAGGGGUUCUGAGAGGAAGGUCCCCCACAUUGGAACUGAGACACGGUCCAAACUCCUACGGGAGGCAGCAGUGAGGAAUAUUGGUCAAUGGGCGAGAGCCUGAACCAGCCAAGUAGCGUGCAGGAUGACGGCCCUAUGGGUUGUAAACUGCUUUUAUAGGGGGAUAAAGUGUGCCACGUGUGGCAUAUUGCAGGUACCCUAUGUAUAAGGACCGGCUAAUUCCGUGCCAGCAGCCGCGGUAAUACGGAAGGUCCGGGCGUUAUCCGGAUUUAUUGGGUUUAAAGGGAGCGUAGGCCGUUUGGUAAGCGUGUUGUGAAAUGUCGGGGCUCAACCUGGGCAUUGCAGCGCGAACUGCCAGACUUGAGUGCGCAGGAAGUAGGCGGAAUUCGUCGUGUAGCGGUGAAAUGCUUAGAUAUGACGAAGAACUCCGAUUGCGAAGGCAGCCUGCUGUAGCGCAACUGACGCUGAAGCUCGAAGGCGUGGGUAUCGAACAGGAUUAGAUACCCUGGUAGUCCACGCGGUAAACGAUGGAUGCUCGCUGUUUGCGUCUGACGUAAGCGGCCAAGCGAAAGCGUUAAGCAUCCCACCUGGGGAGUACGCUGGCAACGGUGAAACUCAAAGGAAUUGACGGGGGCCCGCACAAGCG